Molecule: long non-coding RNA, 515 nt
Organism: Triticum aestivum (bread wheat)
Lineage: Eukaryota; Viridiplantae; Streptophyta; Magnoliopsida; Poales; Poaceae
Exons: 2
Source: RefSeq, a predicted model, not a curated record
GCGAAAACACAAGCCUCCUUCCAACAACAAUGGCUCACCUCAAGAACUUGGCCGUGUUGGUGUGCGUGAUACUGGCCUCGCUCGCGUUCGCUGUGCAGGCCGUGCUGGCCGCCAGAGGCCUCGCCCCAGCCACCGGUGUUUUUAGCAGCAUGUACACGGGUAAUGCGCCUGUUAAACCCCAUUGUGACAACGAUGAUGAUUACUGUUUGAGUGGCAAACCUGCACACUAGACUACGAGAAGACAGGCCGCCCGGGAACCUGAAUGAGUUAGCUACUGAACACUCGUUGUUGAUAUAAGCAUAAUCAUAAGUGAUUAUCUAUCGUUGUGUUUCUCUUUUCGAAUAAACGCCACGGAGCAGCAUGUCUGCUUGUGGCGCGUGAUUAUCUACAAUAGCAGGAGAAGAAAGGACGUGCCGUGUUUACGCGGCAUAAAUCUCUUUGUCCGUAUGUUACAUGUUGUCCCUUGUAAGAAUUAAUAUGUGCUUAAAGUGUCCGCGUGAGUUUUGAUCUGGUUU